GGGGUUGUAGCCUAGUGGUUAGAGCGUUGGACUUACGACUUGAAGGUCGGGGGUUCGAUUCCCGAUCCCA
Macrostomum lignano is the source of this 70-nucleotide non-coding RNA. The record is from Rfam. NCBI's taxonomy places the organism in Eukaryota, Metazoa, Platyhelminthes, Macrostomidae.